Molecule: ribosomal RNA, 301 nt
Filed under: uncultured bacterium
Lineage: Bacteria
Description: partial 16S ribosomal RNA
Rfam family: Bacterial small subunit ribosomal RNA
Source: RNAcentral
CAGCCGCCACGGGAAUACGUAGGUGGCAAGCGUUGUCCGGAAUUAUUGGGCGUAAAGGGCUCGCAGGCGGUUUCUUAAGUCUGAUGUGAAAGCCCCCGGCUCAACCGGGGAGGGUCAUUGGAAACUGGGAAACUUGAGUGCAGAAGAGGAGAGUGGAAUUCCACGUGUAACGGUGAAAUGCGUAGAGAUGUGGAGGAACACCAGUGGCGAAGGCGACUCUCUGGUCUGUAACUGACGCUGAGGAGCGAAAGCGUGGGGAGCGAACAGGAUUAGAUACCCGGGUAGUCCCUGUCUCUUAUAU